AGCAGUGGGGAAUUUUCCGCAAUGGGCGAAAGCCUGACGGAGCAAUAGCGCGUGAGGGAGGGAAGCUCCUGGGGUGUAAAACUCUUUUUUCAGGGAAGAACGCAAUGACGGUACCCGAGGAAUAAGCAUCGGCUAACUCUGUGCCAGCAGCCGCGGUAAUACGGAGGAUGCAAGCGUUAUCCGGAAUGAUUGGGCGUAAAGCGUCUGCAGGUGGCAAUGUAAGUCUGCUGUUAAAGAGCGAGGCUCAACCUCAUAAAAGCAGUGGAAACUACAUAGCUAGAGUGCGGUAGGGGCAGAGGGAAUUCCUGGUGUAGCGGUGAAAUGCGUAGAUAUCAGGAAGAACACCGGUGGCGAAAGCGCUCUGCUAGGCCGCAACUGACACUGAGG
This 387-nucleotide ribosomal RNA is filed under the name uncultured Nostoc sp. RNAcentral's name for it is "bacterial SSU rRNA". It matches the Rfam family "Bacterial small subunit ribosomal RNA", at positions 350 to 751 of the family's 1533-position model. The record is from RNAcentral. Lineage: Bacteria; Bacillati; Cyanobacteriota; Cyanophyceae; Nostocales; Nostocaceae.